This is a long non-coding RNA of Oncorhynchus tshawytscha (Chinook salmon), 2727 nucleotides long. The record is from Ensembl. Lineage: Eukaryota; Metazoa; Chordata; Actinopteri; Salmoniformes; Salmonidae.
CUACACCUGUUCAUAUCUACACCUGUUCAUAUCAAUACCUGUAUACACCUGUUUAUACAGUGUGCAUGAAGCCUUUGAUAUGAACAUGGAAGUCCAGAACAUUCAACUCAUCUCCAUCUAUCAUAAUCUACUGGUUUCUCUGUUGAGUUCAACUCAUCUCCAUCUAUCAUAAUCUACUGGUUUCUCUGUUGAGUUCAACUCCUCUCCAUCUAUCAUAAUCUACUGGUUUCUCUGUUGAGUUCAACUCAUCUCCAUCUAUCAUAAUCUACUGGUUUCUCUGUUGAGUUCAACUCAUCUCCAUCUAUCAUAAUCUACUGGUUUCUCUGUUGAGUUCAACUCAUCUCCAUCUAUCAUAAUCUACUGGUUUCUCUGUUGAGUUCAACUCAUCUCCAUCUAUCAUAAUCUACUGGUUUCUCUGUUGAGUUCAACUCAUCUCUAUCUAUCAUAAUCUACUGGUUUCUCUGUUGAGUUCAACUCCUCUCCAUCUAUCAUAAUCUACUGGUUUCUCUGUUGAGUUCAACUCAUCUCCAUCUAUCAUAAUCUACUGGUUUCUCUGUUGAGUUCAACUCCUCUCCAUCUAUCAUAAUCUACUGGUUUCUCUGUUGAGUUCAACUCAUCUCUAUCUAUCAUAAUCUACUGGUUUCUCUGUUGAGUUCAACUCAUCUCCAUCUAUCAUAAUCUACUGGUUUCUCUGUUGAGUUCAACUCAUCUCUAUCUAUCAUAAUCUACUGGUUUCUCUGUUGAGUUCAACUCAUCUCUAUCUAUCAUAAUCUACUGGUUUCUCUGUUGAGUUCAACUCAUCUCCAUCUAUCAUAAUCUACUGGUUUCUCUGUUGAGUUCAACUCAUCUCCAUCUAUCAUAAUCUACUGGUUUCUCUGUUGAGUUCAACUCAUCUCCAUCUAUCAUAAUCUACUGGUUUCUCUGAGUUCAACUCCACUCCAUCUAUCAUAAUCUACUGGUUUCUCUGUUGAGUUCAACUCAUCUCCAUCUAUCAUAAUCUACUGGUUUCUCUGUUGAGUUCAACUCAUCUCCAUCUAUCAUAAUCUACUGGUUUCUCUGUUGAGUUCAACUCAUCUCCAUCUAUCAUAAUCUAAUGGUUUCUCUGUUGAGUUCAACUCAUCUCCAUCUAUCAUAAUCUACUGGUUUCUCUGUUGAGUUCAACUCAUCUCUAUAUAUCAUAAUCUACUAGUCUGGUCUAAACCACUGAGUGACCUUUCAGAACAGAACAAGUUGCCUUGUCACUUCCUGUUUUCCUGAAACUACAGAAUGCUGUUUCAGUGGAAGGAGGGAUGAAUGAGGAGAGGGGAAGAGGAGAGGAGAGGAGGAGCUGAGAAGACAGGAGGAGAGGAAAGAAUGUUUUUAUACUUUCAAAGAUUUCUGUUGCCUUCCUUACUGACUCUUAAGGCCUUUUCUGGUUUGGGGAAAAAAUCCUUCCUCUCUAAGUAGGCAAACGGAAGACAGUCCUCCCCUCCUCGAUAGCGUCCUUUUGGCGAGGAAUCACACGUGUAUCCUUCCACAGAAGACAGUCCUCCCCUCCUCGAUAGCCUCCUUCUGGCGAGGAAUCACACGUGUAUCAGUAUAUUAUAUUCACGUUUUAUAUUGUCACACAGUCACUCCUCACUCACAGAUAGAGCACCAAGCCUGCUUCCCAAACUGCACCCUAUUCCCUAUGUAGUACAGUACUUUGAGUACGCCCCCUCUAGACCCUGGUAGUGCAUAAUAUAGGGAAUAGUUUUCCAUUUAGAACACAGCAUAGGGUUCCAUUUAGAACACAGCAUAGGGUUCCAUUUAGAACACAGCAUAGGGUUCCAUUUAGAACACAGUAUAGGGUUCCAUUUAGAACACAGCAUAGGGUUCCAUUUAGAACACAGCAUAGGGUUCCAUUUAGAACACAGUAUAGGGUUCCAUUUAGAACACAGUAUAGGGUUCCAUUUAGAACACAGCAUAGGGUUCCAUUUAGAACACAGCAUAGGGUUCCAUUUAGAACACAGCAUAGGGUUCCAUUUAGAACACAGCAUAGGGUUCCAUUUAGAACACAGCAUAGGGUUCCAUUUAGAACACAGCAUAGGGUUCCAUUUAGAACACAGCAUAGGGUUCCAUUUAGAACACAGCAUAGGGUUCCAUUUAGAACACAGCAUAGGGUUCCAUUUAGAACACAGUAUAGGGUUCCAUUUAGAACACAGUAUAGGGUUCCAUUUAGAACACAGCAUAGGGUUCCAUUUAGAACACAGCAUAGGGUUCCAUUUAGAACACAGCAUAGGCUUCCAUUUAGAACACAGCAUAGGGUUCCAUUUAGAACACAUCCCAUGUCUGAGACAGACACAAAAGCUUUAUAACAGUUAGACCAGUAAUAACAUCAGGCUUGAGAACAGUUCUAACAUGUUAUAGAACAAGACACAGCCUUGAGAACAGUUAUAACAUGUUAUAGAACAACAGGCUUGAGAACAGUUAUAACAUGUUAUAGAACAACAGGCUUGAGAACAGUUAUAACAUGUUAUAGAACAACAGGCUUGAGAACAGUUAUAACAUGUUAUAGAACAACAGGCUUGAGAACAGUUAUAACAUGUUAUAGAACAACAGGCUUGAGAACAGUUAUAACAUGUUAUAGAACAACAGGCUUGAGCCUCCAUGUGUUGCCUUCCGUUUGCUCCUCACUGGUUUAUCACUUUAUAUCUAUAUCUAUAUCACUAUAUCAAUUUAACCUGGAUGAAUAAACUGCUUAUUAAA